AGUGAACGCUGGCGGCGUGCUUAACACAUGCAAGUCGAACGAUGAAGUCCUUCGGGAUGGAUUAGUGGCGCACGGGUGAGUAAUAUAUAGUUAAUGUGCCCCUUAGUCUGGGAUAGCCACUGGAAACGGUGAUUAAUACUAGAUAUUCCUUCUUGUCAUAAGACAAGUCGGGAAAGUUUUUCGCUAAGGGAUCAGACUAUAUCCUAUCAGUUAGUUGGUGAGGUAACGGCUCACCAAGGCGAUGACGGGUAGCGGGUUUGAGAGGAUGAUCCGCCACACUGGUACUGAGACACGGACCAGACUCCUACGGGAGGCAGCAGUGAGGAAUAUUGCACAAUGGGGGGAACCCUGAUGCAGCAACGCCGCGUGGAGGAUGACGCAUUUCGGUGUGUAAACUCCUUUUAUAUGUCAAGAAAAUGACGGUAGCAUAUGAAUAAGCACCGGCUAACUCCGUG
RNAcentral lists this ribosomal RNA (455 nucleotides) under uncultured organism. Its description in RNAcentral is "bacterial SSU rRNA". It matches the Rfam family "Bacterial small subunit ribosomal RNA", at positions 29 to 507 of the family's 1533-position model. The record is from RNAcentral.